UUCGCAAUGCCCGAAAGGGUGACGAAGCGACGCCGCGUGGGUGAGGAAGGCCUUCGGGUUGUAAAGCCCUGUCAGGAGUUAAGAAAUGUAGGUACGCUAAUAUCGUAUCUAUUUGACAAAGGCUCCAAAGGAAGCCACGGCUAACUCUGUGCCAGCAGCCGCGGUAAUACAGAGGUGGCAAGCGUUGUUCGGAAUUAUUGGGCGUAAAGAGCACGUAGGUGGAUUUGUAAGUCAGAUGUGAAAGCCUUCUGUUCAAAGGAAGAACGGCAUCUGAAACUGCGGAUCUUGAGUGUAGGAGGGGAGAGUGGAACUUCUGGUGGAGCGGUGAAAUGCGUAGAUAUCAGAAGGAACGUCGGCGGCGAAAGCGACUCUCUGGCCUAUUACUGACACUGAGUGUGCGAAAGUUAGGGGAGCAAACGGGAUUAGAUACCCCGGUAGUCCUAACCGUAAACGAUGGGCACUAAGUAGAGGGGUUUU
RNAcentral lists this ribosomal RNA (477 nucleotides) under Candidatus Scalindua brodae. RNAcentral's name for it is "bacterial SSU rRNA". It matches the Rfam family "Bacterial small subunit ribosomal RNA", at positions 365 to 832 of the family's 1533-position model. The record is from RNAcentral. Lineage: Bacteria; Pseudomonadati; Planctomycetota; Candidatus Brocadiia; Candidatus Brocadiales; Candidatus Scalinduaceae.